This 333-nucleotide ribosomal RNA is filed under the name uncultured bacterium. Its description in RNAcentral is "bacterial SSU rRNA". It matches the Rfam family "Bacterial small subunit ribosomal RNA", at positions 29 to 365 of the family's 1533-position model. The record is from RNAcentral.
AUUGAACGCUGGCGGCAUGCCUUACACAUGCAAGUCGAACGGUAACGCGGGGCAACCUGGCGACGAGUGGCGAACGGGUGAGUAAUGCAUCGGAACGUACCCAGUAGUGGGGGAUAGCCCGGCGAAAGCCGGAUUAAUACCGCAUACGACCUACGGGUGAAAGGGGGGAGUCGCAAGACCUCUCGCUAUUGGAGCGGCCGAUGUCAGAUUAGGUAGUUGGUGGGGUAAAGACCUACCAAGCCUGUGAUCUGUAGCUGGUCUGAGAGGACGACCAGCCACACUGGGACUGAGACACGGCCAGACUCCGUACGGGAGGCAGCAGGUAGGGGUAAG